Leopardus geoffroyi (Geoffroy's cat) is the source of this 485-nucleotide long non-coding RNA. RefSeq lists it as uncharacterized. The transcript has 4 exons. Lineage: Eukaryota; Metazoa; Chordata; Mammalia; Carnivora; Felidae. The record is from RefSeq and is a predicted model, not a curated record.
ACAGUUUGUGAGCAAAGAAAGUGGAUGUGAGAGGCCUGAGAAAAUUGAAACUUAAAAGCUUAAGUUACGGGAAACUGAAACCUAACCAAGCUUAACCAGCUUGUUCCGCUUCUGUACAAUUGCUUGGCGUGCCCAUGUAUUCCGGAUCAAUCAUUAUUGCCUGGCACAUCCGUAUAUUCUUGAUCAACCAUUGUUACUUGGCACAUCCGCGUACUCCUGAUCAAUCAUUGUGAUACCCGUACCCCCGGUUGUGGUCUGACCUAAAGGCAGGAACCAAUCGAAUACUGUUAAGUGUCCAACUUUAAACACCAACCAAUCGCAGCUCUGUAACUGUGGAAAAUUCCUGAUUUCCCCAUGACUUGUUUGUACCUGUCUAUAAAAGGGGUGUAAAAACCUCUCUCAGGGCCUCUUGGCGUCACCGGCAACGGGGGCACAGAGGUCCAGGUUCGAACCUGCAAUAAAUGACCCUUGCUGCUUAGCUUUGA